Molecule: ribosomal RNA, 499 nt
Filed under: uncultured Glomeromycotina
Lineage: Eukaryota; Fungi; Glomeromycota
Description: partial small subunit ribosomal RNA
Rfam family: Eukaryotic small subunit ribosomal RNA
Source: RNAcentral
CCAAUAGCGUAUAUUAAAGUUGUUGCAGUUAAAAAGCUCGUAGUUGAAUUUCGGGAUCAGUACGCUGGUCGUGCCUUCGGUAUGUACUGGUGUUACUGGUUCCUACCUUCUGACGAACCGUCAUGUCAUUAAUUUGGUGUGGCGGGGAAUCAGGACUGUUACUUUGAAAAAAUUAGAGUGCUUAAAGCAGGCUCGCGCUUGAAUACAUUAGCAUGGAAUAAUGAAAUAGGACGUUCGAUCCUAUUUUGUUGGUUUCUAGGAUUGACGUAAUGAUUAAUAGGGAUAGUUGGGGGCAUUAGUAUUCAAUUGUCAGAGGUGAAAUUCUUGGAUUUAUUGAAGACUAACUACUGCGAAAGCAUUUGCCAAGGAUGUUUUCAUUAAUCAAGAACGAAAGUUAGGGGAUCGAAGACGAUCAGAUACCGUCGUAGUCUUAACCAUAAACUAUGCCGACUAGGGAUCGGAUGAUGUUAAUUUUUUAAUGACUCAUUCGGCGCCUUAC